ACGAAGCUCCCGCAGCGACCAUCCUCGGAGCCGGGGACCCAAUGAGUACCAGGCACUCAACCGUGCCGGUCCCCCGGGGUGAAUCGGCCCCCUCUUCACCAACGACGCCCACGACGUGCUUAUGCGUCCGUGUCUUCGUCGCCCGGUGUGGGGGCUGUAGGGCGAACUCCCCUUCCGCCCGAACCCGUCAGCUAACCCGGUAGGCGGCCGAAGGAGAGGCU
Regulatory RNA element from Actinospica robiniae DSM 44927, 221 nucleotides. It matches the Rfam family "c-di-AMP riboswitch aptamer (ydaO/yuaA leader)". From Rfam's summary of the family: This family represents a conserved RNA structure found upstream of the ydaO and yuaA genes in Bacillus subtilis and related genes in other bacteria. The ydaO/yuaA element is thought to act as a genetic "off" switch for the ydaO and yuaA genes in its native state. It is believed that the element may be triggered during osmotic shock leading to activation of ydaO, a predicted amino acid transporter gene, and members of the yuaA-yubG operon which code for KtrA and KtrB K+ transporters. NCBI's taxonomy places the organism in Bacteria, Bacillati, Actinomycetota, Actinomycetes, Catenulisporales, Actinospicaceae. The record is from Rfam.